Phrynosoma platyrhinos (Desert horned lizard) is the source of this 72-nucleotide non-coding RNA. NCBI's taxonomy places the organism in Eukaryota, Metazoa, Chordata, Lepidosauria, Squamata, Phrynosomatidae. The record is from the annotation of a GenBank genome assembly.
CCAAGUGUGGCAAAGUGGUUUGAGUGCUAGACUACAACUCUGGAGUCUGGGGUUCAAAUCCCAGCUCAUCCA